AAGCGUGCGCAGGCGGUUAUAUAAGACAGAUGUGAAAUCCCCGGGCCUCAACCUGGGAACUGCAUUUGUGACUGUAUAGCUGGAGUGCGGCAGAGGGGGAUGGAAUUCCGCGUGUAGCAGUGAAAUGCGUAGAUAUGCGGAGGAACACCGAUGGCGAAGGCAAUCCCCUGGGCCUGCACUGACGCUCAUGCACGAAAGCGUGGGGAGCAAACAGGAUUAGAUACCCUAGU
This 230-nucleotide ribosomal RNA is filed under the name uncultured bacterium. RNAcentral's name for it is "partial 16S ribosomal RNA". It matches the Rfam family "Bacterial small subunit ribosomal RNA", at positions 563 to 791 of the family's 1533-position model. The record is from RNAcentral.